GGGCGUAAGCGGUGGUUUUGGUGAUGAACAAGAUCCCUGGCUAUCAAAGCUGGUUGCUCUGCCAGGUAACUGCAAGAAAAGAGCAGCUGAAGAGACUGAAUGUGUGCAGGCUGCUGUUCUUUUCCCAAUGGCACCAUAGUGCCCUUUCACAUCUGACUGAGAAAGUCUUCCUGACAGAAGUUGGAGGAUGAUCAGAAAUCUAAUGGCAAGUAAAAGCAAUCUGAAGACUAUGUUGAUAAACAGGAUGCUCUGCCACAAACUACAAAAAAGACAGAAAAAUAUUAUGUUAAUGCUUUUGGAACACAUUACUUACGGUGGUGGCACAGUGGAUGUCUUUCCAUACAUUGGCUUCCCUGGAGAGAUCUGAGACUUCAAAAAGGUUAUCAAGAAUAACUUCCCCAAU
This is a long non-coding RNA of Neopsephotus bourkii (Bourke's parrot), 403 nucleotides long. RefSeq lists it as uncharacterized. The transcript is spliced from 3 exons. The record is from RefSeq and is a predicted model, not a curated record. Lineage: Eukaryota; Metazoa; Chordata; Aves; Psittaciformes; Psittacidae.